This 7542-nucleotide long non-coding RNA is filed under the name Equus caballus (horse). RNAcentral describes it as "lncRNA (ENSECAG00000031660.2)". Lineage: Eukaryota; Metazoa; Chordata; Mammalia; Perissodactyla; Equidae. The record is from RNAcentral.
CGAGUGUUUCCUUAUUGAUCUUCUGUUUGGAUGAUUUAUCCGUUGGUGUAAGUGGAGUGUUAAAGCCCCCUACUAUUAUUGUGUUACUAUUUCGCCUCUUAUGUCUGUUAAUAAUUGCUUUAUAUGUUUAGAUGCUCCUAUGUUGGGUGUGUAGAUAUUUACAAGUGUUAUAUUUUCUUGUUGGAUUGUUCCCUUUAUCAUUAUGUAGUGCCUGUCUUUGUCUCUUAUUACAGUUUUUGAUUUAAAGUCUAUUUUGUCUGAUAUAAGUAUUGCUACCUCUGCUUUCUUUUCUUUGCCAUUUGUAUGGAAUAUUUUUUUCCAUCCUUUCACUUUCAGUUUGUGAGUGUCUGUAGGUCUGAAGUGUGUCUCUUGUAUGCUGCAUAUACAUGGGUCUUGUUUGUUUAUCCAGUUGCCACCCUAUGGCAUUUGAUUGGAGCAUUUAGUCCAUUGACAUUUAAAGUAGCUAUUGAUAAAUAUGUAUUUAUUGCCAUCCUGUCACUUUUUUUUUCUGGGUGUUUUAGUAGUUCUUCUCUGUUCCUGUCUUUUUCUCUUGCUCUCUUCCCUUGUGGUUUGAUGGCUAUCUUUAGUAAUAUGUUUGAUUGCUUUUGCCUUACUUUUUUUCAUGCUUGCUUUAGGUUUCUGAUUUGUGGUUACCAUGAGGAUCCUAUUUAAUAUACUAUGCAUAUAACAGUCUAUAUUGAGUAGAUAGUCUCUUUAGCUUGACCUCUUUCUAAAGGCUCUACUUUUUCACUCCCCUCCUCCCACAUUAUAUGUUCUUCACAUCAUAUAUAGUCUCUUCUUUAGUGUGUGUCUAUCCAUUACUCUCUUAUCAUUGAAAUAGGUGAUUUUAGUACAUUUGUCUUUUAACCUUCAUAUUAUCUUCACAGGUAGUUGAUCUGCUGCCUUUACUAUAUUUUUACCUUACAAGUGAUUUUAUUGCAUUUUUUUUAUUGUUGUUGUUUUGGGGUUUUUUGAUAAUUUUUUUUAUCUCUAUUUGUGGUCGUUGCUUUCCCACUUAAAUAAGUCCCUUCAGCAUUUAUUGUAAGGCUGGUUUCUUAGUGAUAAACUCCUUUAAUUUUGGCUUGUCUGAUAAGGUGUUUAUCUCUCCUUCCAUCCUAAAUGACAACCUUGAUAGAUAGAGUAUUCUUGGCUUUUUUCUUUUUAGCACUUUAGAUAUGUUGUGCCAUUCUCUUCUCGCCUGUAGGGUCUCGACUGAGAAGUCCGCUGAUAGCCUGAUGGGCUUCCCUUUAUAUGUCACUUGUGGCCCUUCUCUUGCUGCUUUUAGGAUUCUCUCUUUGUCUUUAAUUUUGGACAUUUUGAUUAUAAUAUGUCUUGGUGUGGGCCUCUUUGGGCUUCUCUUGUUUGGAGCUCUCUGUGCUUCCUGAACUUGGAUGUCUGUUUCCUUCCUCAGGUUAGGAAAAUUUUCCUCUAUUAUUUCAACAAAUAAAUUUUCUGCCCCUUUGUCUCUCUCUUCUCCUUCUGGGACCCCUAUAAUCCAAAUGUUAGCACGCUUGAUAUUGUCCCAGAGUUCUCUUACACUGUUCUCAUUCUGUCUAAUUUUCAUUUCUUUUCUGUUCUGCUUGGGUGAUUUCCUCUAGUCUUUCAUCUAGCUCGCUGAUCCAUUCUUCUGCUUCCAAUACUCUGCUAUUGAGUCCCUCUAGUGAAUUUCUCAUUUUGAGUAUUGUAUUCUUCAUUUCUGAUUGGUUUUUUUAAUUUUUUUUCCCAUGGUUGGUUUUUUUUGUUUUGUUUUUUAAAGAUUUUAUUUUUUCCUUUUUCUCCCCAAAGCCCCCAGUACAUAGUUGUAUAGUCUUCGUUGUGGGUCCUUCUAGUUGUGGCAUGUGGGACGCUGCCUCAGCGUGGUUUGAUGAGCAGUGCCAUGUCCACGCCCAGGAUUCAAACUGACGAAACACUGGGCUGCCAGCAGCAGAGCGCACAAACUUAACCACUCAGCCAUGGGGCCAGGCCCCAUGAUUGUUUUUUUUUUAUAUCUUCCAGUUCUUUUCUGAUGUGCUCACUGUGUUCAUCCAUUCUUCUCUGCAUAUCUGUAAGCAUCCUCAGGAUAUUUUGUUUGAACUUUUUGUCAAGUAGGUCGCUAGUUUCUGUUUCACUCAGUCCUUUUUCUGGGGUUUUGUACUGUUCCCUUGCUUGGAAAGUAUUCCUUUGCCUCCUCAUUAUGCCUCUUUCUCUGUGCUAUUUUCUUUGUAGUAGGUGAGUCGACUAAGUCUCCUGAUCUUGGAGAAGUGGCCUUAUGUAUGAGAUGCCUUAUGAGGCCCAGCAGUGUGCUUCCCUCUCAUCACCAGUCCAUAAGAACCAGGAGUGACCCCUUUGUGGGCUACUUGUGUCCUUCUGCUGUGGCAGGGUUGCUCCCACUGCAGGUACCUAGGGAGUCUGAUCUUUCCUUCCCUGGCCAGCUGUUUGUAAAUCCAGUUUGGGGAGCCUCAGCACUGUUGGCUGCAAAAUCUAUCAGCACUCUCUGAUUGCAGUUUUCCUCUUAAUUGGGUUGGUGCCCAGUGUAGCUGGUUGCUAGGCUCAGGGGCAUACAGUUGUGAUAGGCCUCAGGCCAACAAGGCUGUUGUCAGUUUCCUUAGGAGUGCAGCUGAGUGGGGCUAGCCCUUGGCAGGGGGCACUCAAUUGUUUCAGGCUUUGGAAGGUGGGGCUGACCUUUUUUAUGGCUAUUUGUGAAGCACAAGUCUUCUGAUAAGCCUCACCCCCCACAGGACCACAUACACUGUCAACACAGUCCUGGUCUGUGCAAACUUUUCAACCCCCUGGAGCAUACCCCAACGCCACACUGCAGAGGCUCCCAUCUCUCACCCACAGUUCACCUGGUCCUCACACAGGUCCUGCCCCACAGAGGCAGACACCCUUGCCUGCCUGUAGAGGAUCAAGGGACCCAGUCAAUACAGGCUGAAAAGUAGCCUGAGGGCUUGCUGUUAGGUGGGGCCAGUCCCUAGGGUGGGCUGCCUGCCCUGGCUGAACUGAAUUAAAUCUGUGCUCUGGUAGGCGUGGCAGACCCCUGGGCCAACAGCCCAAGGGACAAACCUCAAUGGCCCCCACCGGGCCAUAUCAGCACGCCUGGACCAGGUCAGAACAAUGGCCCCCACCAAUGUGCCAGUCUCCGGAGAGGUCCCUCCUCUCACCAAGAUGCCCCCAGAGCCCACCAGCUGCUAUGGUAUGAUUGGAUCUAUGAAGAGACCCAGGGAGACAGGAACAGAGGGAGGCCUCCAAACAACAGCCAGUGAGAAACUGAGACCCUCUGUCCAACAGUCCAUGAGGAACUGAAUCCUGUCAGCAACCACGUGAGUAACAGUGACUUUGGAAACGGAUUCUACCUCAGAUUGAGAGGAACUGUACUCAAGGAGCUGUACUUAUGGAAGUAUUCCUAAGAGGCCUCAGCAAAACCUGGAUCUGACUUAAAUAAUGAGGUUCUAGACAUUGAACUGAUACUGUAAUGUCUUACUCUUGGGUAGGGGUGAGUGUACUUUCCAUUUAAGAGGGACAUGAAUCAUUGGGGAUCAGAGGGUAGGCUGUGGUAGGCAGCCCUUAAGAUGACUUGCAGUAUCUGCCUCCUGAUACUUACAUCCUUGGGUAAUCACCUUCCUUUGAGUGUGGAAUGGACCUAGUCACUUCUUCCUAAUGGACAGAAUAUGGCAAAAGUAAUGAUAUAUCACUUCCAAGAUUAGGUUACAAAGAGACUGUAGCUUCCAUUUUGUGCACUCUCUCUCUCAUUCUCAUGUUCUCUGAUGGAAGCCAGCAUCCCUAGGGAGAGGCCCAUAAAGGAAAGAACUUAAGGAAGCCUCACACUAACAACCAGCAAGGAACUGAGACCCUCUGUGCAACGUCCCUUGAAGAAGUGAAUCCUACCAACAACCAUGAAGUUGUUGAGCAGAGUGCUGAGAAAACGAUCGAUCGAUUGAAUCCACUUGUUGACGCAAACAAGAAAAGGAGGAAGCAGGUGUCAUACUAGCAAACAAAGGCUCUUCUUUGAUGGGAGGAAAAGAAAAUCUCUAAAACGUUAGUCCUCUACAGGGCAUGACUGCUCCAAUGAAUUCUUUUAAAAACAGGGAUCUUGUUAUUAGAAGAAGGAGGAUUGUUAAGGGCCAACGAUCUCUCUGAGACCAGGAACAUCAUGGCUGGAUGGUGUAAGGAAAAGAUCUUCUUACUCCUCUCCCUGGUAGUCAAGUUUUCUGACUGCUGGAGAGUAGAUAUUACCAGAAUGCUGGUCCCAGAGAGUAAAAAGGUAAGAAAGGAAAUAGCAAAGUAAGAACUGACGGUACAAAAAAGUAGGAGAAGAAAACCUAGAAAUAGAGAGAUCAGAAACGGGCUUUAAGUACGAAGCAAUAGAGAACAUAACGACGAUUUAUAGCACUAAUUUAUACCUAGGAUUUUGAAAGUGAAAUUUAAAAAUUAAAAAAAAAAGUUCAAGAACAGAACUUCCGAUCUGUCUCCGAGGUAAACUGGGAAUCUGAUGAAGAUCCCUUGGCUUUGCAGCACUCAUACUUACCAGAGAAAAACUAUAAUCAUUAGCUGUAUAAUUCAACCCCAUCUCCUCCACUACUACCAGAUUUUUUCCUCCAAGUCUUCGCUACAGCCCUGUCCUGUCACAUCAGUGGGCACCUCACAGUGAUAAUAUCACCAUUAUUAGUAAUAUCAGCAACAGCUACAAUUUAUUGAGUCUUAGCCAAGGCUUAAGCACUGAAGUGACCACCUUUGGAACAUAACAUCACUUAAUUCUCACAAAAACCCUAUAAUGUGAGUGCUAUUAAGCUCUCCAUUCAGUGGAUGAGGAAAACCAUCUAAGGCUGAGAGAGAUUCACAAAACUUGCCCGAGGAUGCACAGCUGGAAAACGAAAAACUGGAAUUUGAACUAACUUCAAAGUCCACGGCCACUAUUUUAGAUAGCCUCCCAUAAUAUUUCAUUUGUGGAGCACUUAUAUGUUAUCACUAUGCAAAGAGCUUUGCUUAUAUUAUCAUAUUGGAUUAUCACAACAGCCCAUAAGGUAGGUUUGAUGAUCCUGUUUUACAAAACAAGAAUUUAAGUAAGUGUACUGAUCACUAGUCUAUUGUCCACUGACCCUCCAGCUAAAAUCAACCACUAUUUAAGUCACUAACAUGUGCAAAAUGAAUACUUAAUAAAAACAAGCUUUGUAGACAAUGUGCUUUAUGAUGACUGUAAUUGGUGAACAAUGUGCAAAUAUCAUACAGGGAACCCCUAGUUUCAUGCAAUACUGAACUCAUGGUAAACUACUUCUCUUUUUCUCAUUUUGUAGGCCAAAGAGUGCCCCUUCUGGCUGCGUACCCACUUAUAUAACCCCUACACAGAAGUCAAUGGGUGUUCCAGGCAGCAGCAAAACAGAUGUGGCUGCUGGGGUGGGGUGGAAGACGAUGACCAGCAUACAGAUUGCUGUGCUUAUGUUCUGCGUCGACAUCUGAUAUGGCUAUUCUUGUCUGUGUUUACAUGUCCCAUUCAUCUGGUUCAACCAGACAGAGUUUUACUAAUAUUAUUGAUGGUUGCCAUAACAACAAGCAUGUGAAUAUACUUUAGCUAAGAAAUUGUGACAAGUAUUUGGUUGAUCACAGUCCGUAAAUUGCAUAGAGGGAUGAUCUCCAGGGGUGAAGGGGGAUGGAAUAGGACAUCACCAGAUGGACACUUGCUUUGAUCUCAUUGAGGAAAUUUACAUAGUGAUUUCUCCUGAAAAAGUUCCUUUCCAGGGGCUUCCUCUGGAAAUUUGGAGCUGUUUGAUCCUUGGAGAAUAGCCAGUAACUCAACCAAAGACUCUUCUUAGACCAUAAAUAGCAUUCUGAGUUUGCAUCCUCCAUUUCCAUCACUCUCCCUCUCCUGAUCUUCUCAGUCUCUUCAGUAUUCAAGAAACUAAUGGAACAAAGUCAAAUACUAGAAAUUGGGUAAUCUUCCUUUGCUUCUUUUAGCUCUGGCUUCUUAGGUGACAUUCCUUUUGAUCACAGAUACUUCCUAAAAAUAUACUGGAUAUUGUGGAGUUGGGGGAGAAAAAGGGGCAAGAUGGUGGAUAUCAAAGACCUGGAAAACAACCUCUGCCAUUGAUGAAUUUGUGGUCAUGCUUGAGAGGCAGGGUGACUGAAGGGGUUCCUGAGGUGUGGGGCUUUUCGCUUUAUAACCAGGAAAGUCCAAGGCAAACCAGGAUGAGUUAGAGACUCUAUGAAGUGAGUCUGAGAAAUUCACUUCACCUACGUAGACCUCAUUUCUCCCAACUCUAAAAAUGAAUUAAAAAUUUUAUUUCCUUUGCCUUAUUCUCAGUAAACCAUAUACAAAAGAAGAAAACAAUACAUGAAAUCCUUUAAAAAAAAAAAAAGAGUACAGAGAUGCCAGCCAUAUCUGAUCCUAGAGUAUUGGCUUCAGAGAGACAGGGAAUUGGGUCUCCUUGGUGAAACACCUUAACAUCCAAGACCUCAAACACUUAGCUUCUCCCUAUGGUGCACCUGAUCUCUUUGAGACAAUGCAGUACUAUUUAAUAAGCUGACUCCCCAAAGGUGUCUAAGUGAUUCCCAGGAUGUAGGUCACACACUGGAAGAAUCGCAUUCAACCAAUGUUGAACAACCAAGCUUAAAACUCCCAACACACAGCUGCAUGUUUAAGAUGAAUAAGACAUCAUUGGUGAAAUAUUUUUAUUACAAGGGGUUACGACUUAAACACAGCAAAAAAGAUAUUGGAUUGAGGUGUUCCAUUUAAUGUAUUGGUUGAGAAGGGAGUGAGAGAGGGUAAGGGGAAGAGACAGAAGAGUCAUCCUAUGGUGAUUUCAUCCCACCAUUCCUCUUCCAGUGAGAUAAGAGCAGUCAUUGGGCUUAAGAUUAUCCAUUAUUCAUUUUCUCUAAAGAAGUAGGAGUGCUAUGAGAAUUACGGAUUAGUGCAGGGGAGGGGUAUACUCAAAGACUCCUGGUCUCCCAAUUUAGAACACAGUUGGGAGAAGGAAGGAGCAGAGCCUUCCCCUCCAGAACAAUAACAGCGGCAACACUAGCCACCCACCUUGGCUCAGCUCAGCCCAUAGAGAAAAAGAUACUCCACCCAAGCCCUGUCAGAGCUUAUUGGCUUUGUGUGAAUGAGGUUGAGGAGAGAGCUAUGAUGCUUUGAGGCUACACAGAUAAUCCAUCACUUUCCUCUCUGUGCCCAGGAAGGCUUGUGACAUGUGUCCCAAGAAAAAGAUACGAUGAAGUCCAAACCCCUGGUACCUGUGAAUGUGACCUUAUCUGGAAAUAAGAUCUUUUCAGAUACAAUCAAGUUAAGAUGAGAUCACACUGAAUUAGAGUGGGCCCUAAUCUAAUGACUAGGGUCCUUAUAAGAAGAUGAAAUUUGAACACAAAGAGACACAAGAACAACAUAUGAUGACAAACACAGAGAUUAGAGUGAUGCAUCUGCAAGCCCAGGAAUGCCAAGAAUUACUGGCAAUCACCAGAAGCUAAGAGAAAGGCGUGGAACAGGCUCUCCCUCAGACGGAACCUCUCUGACACCUUGUUUGUGGAAUUUUGGCCUCCAAAACUGUGAGAUAAUAAAUUUCUGUUAUAUUAAAC